Molecule: ribosomal RNA, 481 nt
Filed under: uncultured bacterium
Lineage: Bacteria
Description: bacterial SSU rRNA
Rfam family: Bacterial small subunit ribosomal RNA
Source: RNAcentral
AAUCAACGCUGGCGGCGUGCCUCAGACAUGCAAGUCGAACGAUUAAAGCUCUCUUCGGAGAGUGCAUAGAGUGGCGCACGGGUGAGUAACACGUAAGUAAUCUACCUUCGAGUGGGGAAUAACGUCCGGAAACGGACGCUAAUACCGCAUAAUGCAGCGGCAUCGUAAGAUGACAGUUGUUAAAGAUUUAUCGCUUGAAGAGGAGCUUGCGGCAGAUUAGCUAGUUGGUAAGGUAAUGGCUUACCAAGGCUACGAUCUGUAACCGGUCUUAGAGGACGGUCGGUCACACUGACACUGAAUAACGGGUCAGACUCCUACGGAGGCAGCAGUCGGAAUUUUGGGCAAUGGGCGAAAGCCUGACCCAGCAACGCCGCGUGAAGGAUGAAGUAUUUCGGUAUGUAAACUUCGAAAGAAUAGGAAGAAUAAAUGACGGUACUAUUUAUAAGGUCCGGCUAACUACGUGCCAGCGAGCUGCGGUAAU